This is a long non-coding RNA of Chenopodium quinoa (quinoa), 769 nucleotides long. RefSeq lists it as uncharacterized. NCBI's taxonomy places the organism in Eukaryota, Viridiplantae, Streptophyta, Magnoliopsida, Caryophyllales, Amaranthaceae. The record is from RefSeq and is a predicted model, not a curated record. The transcript has 2 exons.
UAGUUAUUGAUAAUCAAGAUCAUAUGAGAACCAAAGCCUAUAAUAGGAAUUAGGAACUCAUUGUGACUGUUGAUGGUACAUAAUCUAAUGGCUAUCAUCUUGCCCGCCUCAUUAAGGGCAAAAUUGUAAUUACGUGUUUUGAAUGACUACCCUAAUUUUUCGUUUCUUCUAUUUUAAGUUUCUCUCUCUUCAUUCCAUUUUCUCUCUCCUCCUGCAAAUUCUCUCAUGCGAAUGUUGCAAUCACUAAGCUCUUUGCAAGUCCUCUUCUCAAAUUUGUAACUUUUCAUCUAUGAUCAUUAUUCUAUCAAAUUUAUGGGCAGGAGGCUGCUGGGUAAAGAUUUGCCAGGCUUGAGGCCUUGAGCAUAAAAGAAUAGCAGUUGCUAGAAACGCAACUCAAUGAAAUCUUACUGCCCAUAAAAGCUAAGAAGCAAGGUGGAUUUAGUUUUGUGGUACCUUUUGUUUAUUUUUGUCUUCUAUUUGAGGCUACUCGUAUUAUUGUUUGACAAAGCACACAUAUAAAGCACACUCUAUUAUCAUUGUUACAACGUCAACCAACAAUGAGCAGAACAUAUACUCUAUUUAAUUUUUUACUUACUUUUUGUGAUUUUUUAUUUACUUUUGAGCUAUUUAGCUUUACUUUGACUGGACAAACAAAUAAUCGAGAUUGUAAGUUUUGGAUUUCUUUUUGGUGGAAUGGUAUCUUAUGUAUGCAAGUUCUAGCUAUUUGAGCUGUUUGAAAUGAUCUAAACCCCUCGUGAUGAUUGUACUA